This 309-nucleotide ribosomal RNA is filed under the name uncultured marine eukaryote. RNAcentral describes it as "SSU rRNA". It matches the Rfam family "Eukaryotic small subunit ribosomal RNA", at positions 612 to 927 of the family's 1831-position model. The record is from RNAcentral.
GUUGCAGUUAAAAAGCUCGUAGUUGGAUUUCGGAGUGGGCCAGUUGGUCCGCCGCAAGGUGUGUUACUGACUGGUUUGCUCUUCUGCGCAAAGACUGCGUGUGCUCUUUGUUGAGUGUGCGUAGGAUUUACGUCGUUUACUUUGAAAAAAUUAGAGUGUUCAAAGCAGGCUAUUGCUUGAAUACAUGAGCAUGGAAUAAUGGAAUAGGACUUUGGUCCCAUUUUGUUGGUUUCUAGGACCGAAGUAAUGAUUAAGAGGGACAAUUGGGGGCAUCCGUAUUUCGUUGUCAGAGGUGAAAUUCUUGGAUUU